ACAAGCGGAGGAGCAUGUGGUUUAAUUCGAUGAUACGCGAGGAACCUUAACCUGGGCGUCGAACGUAAGAUGACUGUAGGUGAAAGCUUACAUCUCUUCGGAGCAUUUUACGAGGUGCUGCAUGGUUGUCGUCAGCUCGUGCCGUGAGGUGUCGGGUUAAGUCCCAUAACGAGCGCAACCCUACCUUUAGUUGCCAUCAGGUAAUGCUGGGGACUCUAAAGGAACUGCCUACGCAAGUAGUGAGGAAGGCGGGGAUGACGUCAAAUCAGCACGGCCCUUACGUCCAGGGCUACACACGUGCUACAAUGGCCGAUACAGAGGGCAGCUACCUGGUGACAGGAUGCAAAUCUCCAAAGUCGGUCUCAGUUCGGAUCGGAGUCUGCAACCCGACUCCGUGAAGUUGGAUUCGCUAGUAAUCGCGCAUCAGCCAUGGCGCGGUGAAUACGUUCCCGGGCCUU
Molecule: ribosomal RNA, 458 nt
Filed under: uncultured Sphingobacteriales bacterium
Lineage: Bacteria; Pseudomonadati; Bacteroidota; Sphingobacteriia; Sphingobacteriales
Description: bacterial SSU rRNA
Rfam family: Bacterial small subunit ribosomal RNA
Source: RNAcentral